UGGGGGAUCGUCUAGUGGUAGGACAGCGGACUCUGACUCCGCCGGCGGGGGUUCGAAUCCCUCUCCCCCAGCCA
This 74-nucleotide transfer RNA is filed under the name Gammaproteobacteria bacterium. Its description in RNAcentral is "tRNA-Gln". It matches the Rfam family "tRNA". From Rfam's summary of the family: Transfer RNA (tRNA) molecules are approximately 80 nucleotides in length. Their secondary structure includes four short double-helical elements and three loops (D, anti-codon, and T loops). The record is from RNAcentral. Lineage: Bacteria; Pseudomonadati; Pseudomonadota; Gammaproteobacteria.